AUACGGAGGGUGCAAGCGUUAUCCGGAUUCAUUGGGUUUAAAGGGUGCGCAGGCGGACUUGUAAGUCAGUGGUGAAAUCCCGGGGCUCAACCUCGGAACUGCCAUUGAUACUGCAAGUCUUGAGUUUGAUUGAAGUGGGCGGAAUGUAGCAUGUAGCGGUGAAAUGCAUAGAUAUGCUACAGAACACCGAUCGCGAAGGCAGCUCACUAAACCAACACUGACGCUCAGGCACGAAAGCGUGGGGAGCGAACAGGAUUAGAAACCCUAGUAGUCC
RNAcentral lists this ribosomal RNA (274 nucleotides) under uncultured bacterium. RNAcentral's name for it is "partial 16S ribosomal RNA". It matches the Rfam family "Bacterial small subunit ribosomal RNA", at positions 523 to 796 of the family's 1533-position model. The record is from RNAcentral.